UACGAAGGGGGCUAGCGUUGCUCGGAAUGACUGGGCGUAAAGGGCGCGUAGGCGGUUCACAGAGUCGGGCGUGAAAUUCCUGGGCUUAACCCGGGGGCUGCGUUCGAUACCUGUGGACUGGAGUGAGGAAGAGGGUCGUGGAAUUCCCAGUGUAGAGGUGAAAUUCGUAGAUAUUGGGAAGAACACCGGUGGCGUAGGCGGCGACCUGGUCCUUUACUGACGCUGAGGCGCGAAAGCCAGAGGAGCGAACGGG
RNAcentral lists this ribosomal RNA (253 nucleotides) under uncultured bacterium. Its description in RNAcentral is "partial 16S ribosomal RNA". It matches the Rfam family "Bacterial small subunit ribosomal RNA", at positions 524 to 776 of the family's 1533-position model. The record is from RNAcentral.